RNAcentral lists this small nuclear RNA (23 nucleotides) under Arabidopsis thaliana (thale cress). RNAcentral's name for it is "snRNA_02179". The record is from RNAcentral. Lineage: Eukaryota; Viridiplantae; Streptophyta; Magnoliopsida; Brassicales; Brassicaceae.
ACGGUCACAUAAAAGAUCGUUAU